GAUGAACGCUGGCGGCGUGCCUAAUACAUGCAAGUCGAGCGAACGGACGAGAAGCUUGCUUUUCUGAUGUUAGCGGCGGACGGGUGAGUAACACGUGGAUAACCUACCUAUAAGACUGGGAUAACUUCGGGAAACCGGAGCUAAUACCGGAUAAUAUUUUGAACCGCAUGGUUCAAAAGUGAAAGACGGUCUUGCUGUCACUUAUAGAUGGAUCCGCGCUGCAUUAGCUAGUUGGUAAGGUAACGGCUUACCAAGGCAACGAUGGAUAGCCGACCUGAGAGGGGGAUCGGCCACACUGGAACUGGAACACGGCCCAGACUCCUACGGGAGGCAGCAGUAGGGAAUCUUCCGCAAUGGGCGAAAGCCUGACGGGGCAACGCCGCGUGAGUGAUGAAGGUCUUCGGAUCGUAAAACUCUGUUAUUAGGGAAGAACAUAUGUGUAAGUAACUGUGCACAUCUUGACGGUACCUAAUCAGAAAGCCACGGCUAACUACGUG
RNAcentral lists this ribosomal RNA (497 nucleotides) under uncultured bacterium. RNAcentral describes it as "partial 16S ribosomal RNA". It matches the Rfam family "Bacterial small subunit ribosomal RNA", at positions 28 to 507 of the family's 1533-position model. The record is from RNAcentral.